RNAcentral lists this ribosomal RNA (106 nucleotides) under Mus spretus (western wild mouse). Its description in RNAcentral is "rRNA (ENSMSPG00010046500.1)". Lineage: Eukaryota; Metazoa; Chordata; Mammalia; Rodentia; Muridae. The record is from RNAcentral.
GUCUACGGCCAUACCACCCUGAAUCCACCCAGGCAGCUAAGCAGAGUCAGCCCUGGGUAAUAAUAGCACAGGAGAGUCUGAAUCCUCAAACCAUGUAGCUUAGCCG